This 293-nucleotide ribosomal RNA is filed under the name uncultured bacterium. RNAcentral's name for it is "partial 16S ribosomal RNA". It matches the Rfam family "Archaeal small subunit ribosomal RNA", at positions 455 to 747 of the family's 1478-position model. The record is from RNAcentral.
GUGCCAGCCGCCGCGGUGAUACCGGCAGCCCGAGUGAUGGCCGAUCUUAUUGGGCCUAAAGCGUCCGUAGCUGGCUGCGCAAGUCCGUCGGGAAAUCCACUCGCCCAACGAGUGGGCGUCCGACGGAAACUGCACAGCUUGGGGCCGGAGGACCCGAGGGGUACGUCCGGGGUAGGAGUGAAAUCCUGUAAUUCCGCACGGACCACCGAUGGCGAAAGCACUUCGAGAAAACGGAUCCGACAGUGAGGGACGAAAGCCAGGGUCUCCAACCGGAUUAGAAACCCUGGUAGUCC